RNAcentral lists this ribosomal RNA (468 nucleotides) under uncultured bacterium. RNAcentral's name for it is "partial 16S ribosomal RNA". It matches the Rfam family "Bacterial small subunit ribosomal RNA", at positions 28 to 507 of the family's 1533-position model. The record is from RNAcentral.
GACGAACGCUGGCGGCGUGCUUAACACAUGCAAGUCGAACGGAAAGGCCCUGCUUUUGUGGGGUGCUCGAGUGGCGAACGGGUGAGUAACACGUGAGUAACCUGCCCUUGACUUUGGGAUAACUUCAGGAAACUGGGGCUAAUACCGGAUAGGAGCUCCUGCUGCAUGGUGUGGGUUGGAAAGUUUCGGCGGUUGGGGAUGGACUCGCGGCUUAUCAGCUUGUUGGUGGGGUAGUGGCUUACCAAGGCUUUGACGGGUAGCCGGCCUGAGAGGGUGACCGGCCACAUUGGGACUGAGAUACGGCGCAGACGCCUACGGGAGGCAGCAGUGGGGAAUAUUGCACAAUGGGCGGAAGCCUGAGGCAGCAACGCCGCGUGCGGGAUGACGGCCUUCGGGUGGUAAACCGCUUUCGCCUGUGACGAAGCGUGAGUGACGGUAAUGGGUAAAGAAGCACCGGCUAACUACGUG